AUUCCAGCUCCAAUAGCGUAUAUUAAAGUUGUUGCAGUUAAAAAGCUCGUAGUCGGAUUUUGGUACCAAGCCGAACGGUCUGCCGAACGGUAUGCCCUGUUUAGCGGGUACUUCCUUCCGGAAGCCCGUGCUCUCCUUAAUUGGAUGGCACGGUGAGUCCGGAUCAUUUACUUUGAAAAAAUUAGAGUGUUCAAAGCAGGCCUAUGCUCUGAAUAGCUUAGCAUGGAAUAAUAGAAUAGGACUUCGGUACUAUUUUGUUGGUUUCUAGGACCGAAGUAAUGAUUAAUAGGGACAGUUGGGGGCAUUUAUAUUCCAUUGUCAGAGGUGAAAUUCUUGGAUUAACGGAAGAUAAACUACUGCGAAAGCAUCUGCCAAGGAUGUUUUCAUUA
Molecule: ribosomal RNA, 389 nt
Filed under: Picozoa sp.
Lineage: Eukaryota; Picozoa
Description: partial small subunit ribosomal RNA
Rfam family: Eukaryotic small subunit ribosomal RNA
Source: RNAcentral